This 95-nucleotide small nucleolar RNA is filed under the name Sorex araneus (European shrew). RNAcentral describes it as "Small nucleolar RNA SNORA68 (ENSSARG00000019872.1)". The record is from RNAcentral. Lineage: Eukaryota; Metazoa; Chordata; Mammalia; Eulipotyphla; Soricidae.
CAGCCAAUAAAAAUGACAGAUGGCAACAUGGUCUCUUAGAGCCUUUAGGGGGCUGUAGCCCUGCCCUCGAACAUGAAUCUGCAGAUUCUACAGCA